CGUGGUACCUGCGGUUUUUAAUUUUUUUUUAUUAUUAUUUUGGCUUUCUCUGAGCUUUAGGGCUAGUUUUGAGCUGAAAGUUGUUGCUGCAGAGCACAGCCGAGUUGCCCUUUGUCCCCUUUCCAAACCAGAUACGGAGCCCUUCUGCUCGAAGGGGCAAACCGGCAGUUCCACGGGUGGAGAAACCCGGGGCACAGGGAGCAUGAGUGGUAUCGAGGCCUUUCAAGGACAGCGCUGCUGGGAACUUAGUAAGGAAGCUCUCAUUAUGCCUUCAGCCCCGUGGCCGUCGGGUGACUGAAUGGCUCUAAAUCCUGCCAAGUACUCCUUUGCCAGGUAUUUGAUAAUCAGAUAAAAAUAUAAGGGCAAAUGACAGGAGAAACACGGAAGCGUAGAAAUAGCAGAGAGACUAGUGGAGAAAGGAUUGAAAGCCUUUGUCACAGGGCAUCUUAGCUUUUUGUUCUUUCACAGUUACAGACCAGGACAGGAAGAAAACCUGAAAGAAAAUGGUCCUCUUCGAUGGGGGUUUUGUUAAAAGCAUGAAUCAUACUUACUAAGCACAGGGGGUGGUAACUAUCUGGACACAGAUGAUUUGGAAAAAUGGGGAAAUAGCAAUGGCUAUGUUAGUAGCAGUGAGUAGAUGCAGAAACCUAAUUGCAAAUGAAAAAUCUGAACACAAACCAUCAGAAGUUGCAACGGUUAAGCUUCAGAAAUUUAUGCCAAAUUCAAACUCUGCGCACACAGUUGGACACGUACUUACAAAGAGAAAAAGCCAAGAUCAAAGACUUGUGCCUUGUCCGUGACAAGAUGAGGAAGCUUUCGAUGCCCCUUUGUGCCCUGGGAAUUUUACUCCAUAGUUUUGGAGAGUAGAAAACCAGACGAGAAUGUUGUUUCUGUAGCACAGACAUUAUGCAGUCUUCCAUGUAUCUUUGGACAAGUCUAUAUAGUGUGCUGAAGUUAAGGACUGAGACCUUCACUGCAAUGUGAGCUUUUGUGGAAAGCUGUUGUCGAGAAUGGAGGACCAGUCUGAAAAGAUUGCGGGCUGGUAUUGCCUCCAGUAUUGCCUUACACGAUACUUCCGUGCCCUGUGCACACCAGGGACGGGACUGGCACAGACGUGAGCAGAGGUGGGGUGGGAUGACUGGUUAGCAAGUCCAGACAGCGCUUCCGUGACUCAGCAAUGGAAGAGGUGCAUCUGACGAGGGAGUGUGGGAUUCCCCCAGCCCCUCCAUGGGUCUCAGCCGCUCCUCUGAAGGAGCAGCUGUGCCCUACUGUCUGACAGCCUGGCUGAUAACUGUGGGAGUGCAAGUCCUUGCCUGCCCGGCUAUUAUGUUUGGCUCAGUAUUGGUGAAUUAUUGGAUUUGCUGUCGUUUCCACCUGAGUAAUUGUACUACCGAGUAACUGGAUUUGCUGUUGUAAUGACCUGGGUAAUUGCACUACUGAUGUAUAAUUGUUACUGUACUGUUACUUAGAGAUAAAUUGUCUAUCCCUAAA
Aquila chrysaetos chrysaetos is the source of this 1491-nucleotide long non-coding RNA. RefSeq lists it as uncharacterized. The record is from RefSeq and is a predicted model, not a curated record. The transcript has 2 exons. NCBI's taxonomy places the organism in Eukaryota, Metazoa, Chordata, Aves, Accipitriformes, Accipitridae.